RNAcentral lists this ribosomal RNA (861 nucleotides) under Aggregatibacter segnis. Its description in RNAcentral is "bacterial SSU rRNA". It matches the Rfam family "Bacterial small subunit ribosomal RNA", at positions 50 to 902 of the family's 1533-position model. The record is from RNAcentral. Lineage: Bacteria; Pseudomonadati; Pseudomonadota; Gammaproteobacteria; Pasteurellales; Pasteurellaceae.
AACACAUGCAAGUCGAACGGUAACAGGAGAAAGCUUGCUUUCUUGCUGACGAGUGGCGGACGGGUGAGUAAUGCUUGGGAAUCUGGCUUAUGGAGGGGGAUAACGACGGGAAACUGUCGCUAAUACCGCGUAGAAUCGAGAGAUGAAAGUGCGGGACCGCAAGGCCGCAUGCCAUAGGAUGAGCCCAAGUGGGAUUAGGUAGUUGGUGGGGUAAAGGCCUACCAAGCCGACGAUCUCUAGCUGGUCUGAGAGGAUGACCAGCCACACCGGGACUGAGACACGGCCCGGACUCCUACGGGAGGCAGCAGUGGGGAAUAUUGCGCAAUGGGGGCAACCCUGACGCAGCCAUGCCGCGUGAAUGAAGAAGGCCUUCGGGUUGUAAAGUUCUUUCGGUAUUGAGGAAGGUUGUUGUGUUAAUAGCACGACAAAUUGACGUUAAAUACAGAAGAAGCACCGGCUAACUCCGUGCCAGCAGCCGCGGUAAUACGGAGGGUGCGAGCGUUAAUCGGAAUAACUGGGCGUAAAGGGCACGCAGGCGGACUUUUAAGUGAGGUGUGAAAUCCCCGGGCUUAACCUGGGAAUUGCAUUUCAGACUGGGAGUCUAGAGUACUUUAGGGAGGGGUAGAAUUCCACGUGUAGCGGUGAAAUGCGUAGAGAUGUGGAGGAAUACCGAAGGCGAAGGCAGCCCCUUGGGAAUGUACUGACGCUCAUGUGCGAAAGCGUGGGGAGCAAACAGGAUUAGAUACCCUGGUAGUCCACGCUGUAAACGCUGUCGAUUUGGGGAUUGGGCUUUAAGCUUGGUGCCCGAAGCUAACGUGAUAAAUCGACCGCCUGGGGAGUACGGCCGCAAGGUUAAAACUC